RNAcentral lists this ribosomal RNA (500 nucleotides) under uncultured bacterium. Its description in RNAcentral is "bacterial SSU rRNA". It matches the Rfam family "Bacterial small subunit ribosomal RNA", at positions 16 to 507 of the family's 1533-position model. The record is from RNAcentral.
AUCCUGGCUCAGGAUGAACGCUAGCGGCAGGCUUAAUACAUGCAAGUCGAGGGGCAGCAUGACUGUAGCAAUACAGUUGAUGGCGACCGGCAAACGGGUGCGGAACACGUACAGAACCUUCCUUCGAGCGGGGAAUAGCCCAGAGAAAUUUGGAUUAAUACCCCAUAGUACAACGGAGUGGCAUCACUUUGUUGUUAAAGAUUUAUCACUUGAAGAUGGCUGUGCGGCUGAUUAGGUAGUUGGCGGGGUAACGGCCCACCAAGCCUGCGAUCAGUAACUGGUGUGAGAGCACGACCAGUCACACGGGCACUGAGACACGGGCCCGACUCCUACGGGAGGCAGCAGUAAGGAAUAUUGGUCAAUGGACGAAAGUCUGAACCAGCCAUGCCGCGUGGAGGAUGAAGGUCCUCUGGAUUGUAAACUUCUUUUAUAUGGGACGAAAAAAGGGUUUUCUAACUCGUCUGACGGUACCAUAUGAAUAAGCACCGGCUAACUCCGUG